This 468-nucleotide ribosomal RNA is filed under the name uncultured bacterium. Its description in RNAcentral is "partial 16S ribosomal RNA". It matches the Rfam family "Bacterial small subunit ribosomal RNA", at positions 28 to 507 of the family's 1533-position model. The record is from RNAcentral.
GACGAACGCUGGCGGCGUGCUUAACACAUGCAAGUCGAACGGAAAGGCCCUGCUUUUGUGUGGUGCUCGAGUGGCGAACGGGUGAGUAACACGUGAGUAACCUGCCCUUGACUUUGGGAUAACUUCAGGAAACUGGGGCUAAUACCGGAUAGGAGCUCCUGCUGCAUGGGGGGGGUGGGAAAGUUUCGGCGGUUGGGGAUUGACUCGCGGCUUAUCAGCUUGUUGGUGGGGUAGUGGCUUACCAAGGCUUUGACGGGUAGCCGGCCUGAGAGGGUGACCGGACACAUUGGGACUGAGAUAGGGCCCAGACUCCUACGGGGGGCAGCAGUGGGGAAUAUUGCACAAUGGGCGGAAGCCUGAUGCAGCAACGCCGCGUGCGGGAUGACGGCCUUCGGGUUGUAAACCGCUUUCGCCUGUGACGAAGCGUGGGUGACGGUAAUGGGUAAAGAAGCACCGGCUAACUACGUG